Molecule: transfer RNA, 77 nt
Filed under: Candidatus Heimdallarchaeota archaeon LC_3
Lineage: Archaea; Promethearchaeati; Candidatus Heimdallarchaeota
Description: tRNA-Met
Rfam family: tRNA
About the family: Transfer RNA (tRNA) molecules are approximately 80 nucleotides in length. Their secondary structure includes four short double-helical elements and three loops (D, anti-codon, and T loops).
Source: RNAcentral
GGGCCUGUAGCUCAGCCUGGUUUAGAGCGCUCGGCUCAUAACCGAUUGGUUCGGGGGAUCGAAGCCUCCCAGGCCCA